AUUUCUCAGUUUAUAAAAAAGUCCAUCAUGAUUAACAGUAUCAAAGGCUCUUCGUAGGUCAACAAAGCAUGUAAAGAAUUUUGUAUUGCCUUGUUGAGUAUACUUUUCUAUAAGAGUUCUCAAAACUAAAUGAUGAUCACUGGUGCGCUUGCCUUUACAGAAACCAAUUUGUUCCGGUUUAAUAAUAUUUCUACUUGCCAA
RNAcentral lists this long non-coding RNA (201 nucleotides) under Mytilus galloprovincialis (Mediterranean mussel). Lineage: Eukaryota; Metazoa; Mollusca; Bivalvia; Mytilida; Mytilidae. The record is from RNAcentral.